AGCAGCCGCGGUAAUUCCAGCUCCAAUAGCGUAUAUUAAAGUUGUUGCAGUUAAAAAGCUCGUAGUUGAAUUUCGGGAUCAAUACGUCGGUCGUGCCUCCGGUAUGAACUGGCGUUGUUGGUUUCUCCUUUCUGAGGAGCCAUGAUGCCAUUAAUUUGGUGUCGUGGGGAAUCAGGACUGUUACUUUGAAAAAUUAGAGUGUUUAAAGCAGGCACACGCUUGAAUACAUUAGCAUGGAAUAAUGAAAUAGGACGUUCGAUUCUAUUUUGUUGGUUUCUAGGAUCAACGUAAUGAUUAAUAGGGAUAGUUGGGGGCAUUAGUAUUCAAUUGUCAGAGGUGAAAUUCUUGGAUUUAUUGAAGACUAACUACUGCGAAAGCAUUUGCCAAGGAUGUUUUCAUUAAUCAAGAACGAAAGUUAGGGGAUCGAAGACGAUCAGAUACCGUCGUAGUCUUAACCAUAAACUAUGCCGACUAGGGAUCGGAUGGAUGUUAAUUUUAAUGUACUCAUUCGGCGUCCUUA
This 520-nucleotide ribosomal RNA is filed under the name uncultured Glomeromycotina. Its description in RNAcentral is "SSU rRNA". It matches the Rfam family "Eukaryotic small subunit ribosomal RNA", at positions 569 to 1091 of the family's 1831-position model. Lineage: Eukaryota; Fungi; Glomeromycota. The record is from RNAcentral.